This 1100-nucleotide ribosomal RNA is filed under the name Vreelandella aquamarina. RNAcentral describes it as "bacterial SSU rRNA". It matches the Rfam family "Bacterial small subunit ribosomal RNA", at positions 220 to 1309 of the family's 1533-position model. Lineage: Bacteria; Pseudomonadati; Pseudomonadota; Gammaproteobacteria; Oceanospirillales; Halomonadaceae. The record is from RNAcentral.
AUUGGAUGAGCCUAUGUCGNGAUUAGCCUAGUUGGUGAGGUAAUGGCUCACCCAAGGCAACGAUCCGUAGCUGGUCUGAGAGGAUGAUCAGCCACAUCGGGACUGAGACACGGCCCGAACUCCUACGGGAGGCAGCAGUGGGGAAUAUUGGACAAUGGGCGAAAGCCUGAUCCAGCCAUGCCGCGUGUGUGAAGAAGGCCCUCGGGUUGUAAAGCACUUUCAGCGAGGAAGAACGCCUAGUGGUUAAUACCCAUUAGGAAAGACAUCACUCGCAGAAGAAGCACCGGCUAACUCCGUGCCAGCAGCCGCGGUAAUACGGAGGGUGCAAGCGUUAAUCGGAAUUACUGGGCGUAAAGCGCGCGUAGGUGGCUUGAUAAGCCGGUUGUGAAAGCCCCGGGCUCAACCUGGGAACGGCAUCCGGAACUGUCAAGCUAGAGUGCAGGAGAGGAAGGUAGAAUUCCCGGUGUAGCGGUGAAAUGCGUAGAGAUCGGGAGGAAUACCAGUGGCGAAGGCGGCCUUCUGGACUGACACUGACACUGAGGUGCGAAAGCGUGGGUAGCAAACAGGAUUAGAUACCCUGGUAGUCCACGCCGUAAACGAUGUCGACCAGCCGUUGGGUGCCUAGCGCACUUUGUGGCGAAGUUAACGCGAUAAGUCGACCGCCUGGGGAGUACGGCCGCAAGGUUAAAACUCAAAUGAAUUGACGGGGGCCCGCACAAGCGGUGGAGCAUGUGGUUUAAUUCGAUGCAACGCGAAGAACCUUACCUACUCUUGACAUCCUGCGAACUUGUGAGAGAUCACUUGGUGCCUUCGGGAACGCAGAGACAGGUGCUGCAUGGCUGUCGUCAGCUCGUGUUGUGAAAUGUUGGGUUAAGUCCCGUAACGAGCGCAACCCUUGUCCUUAUUUGCCAGCGAGUAAUGUCGGGAACUCUAAGGAGACUGCCGGUGACAAACCGGAGGAAGGUGGGGACGACGUCAAGUCAUCAUGGCCCUUACGAGUAGGGCUACACACGUGCUACAAUGGCCGGUACAAAGGGUUGCGAGCUCGCGAGAGUCAGCUAAUCCCGAAAAGCCGGUCUCAGUUAGUAUCGGUGUGUGCA